RNAcentral lists this ribosomal RNA (301 nucleotides) under uncultured bacterium. Its description in RNAcentral is "partial 16S ribosomal RNA". It matches the Rfam family "Bacterial small subunit ribosomal RNA", at positions 509 to 807 of the family's 1533-position model. The record is from RNAcentral.
CAGUAGCCGCGGGAAUACGUAGGUGGCAAGCGUUGUCCGGAAUUACUGGGCGUAAAGCGUGCGUAGGUGGUGGUUUAAGUCCGUCGUGAAAGCCCUGGGCUCAACCUGGGAAUUGCAGUGGAUACUGGGUCACUAGAGUGUGGUAGAGGAUAGUGGAAUUUCCGGUGUAGCAGUGAAAUGCGUAGAGAUCGGAAGGAACAUCUGUGGCGAAGGCGACUAUCUGGGCCAACACUGUCACUGAGGCACGAAAGCGUGGGGAGCAAACAGGAUUAGAUACCCCUGUAGUCCCUGUCUCUUAUAC